Molecule: long non-coding RNA, 2553 nt
Organism: Chenopodium quinoa (quinoa)
Lineage: Eukaryota; Viridiplantae; Streptophyta; Magnoliopsida; Caryophyllales; Amaranthaceae
Exons: 4
Source: RefSeq, a predicted model, not a curated record
GGAUGAUGUUUAGAGAGAUUUGGGGGUUAGGGUUUGUAGUUUAGAGUGAGAAAGAGUAGAAGUCGAAAGUUAGGGUAUGAAAAAUGAGGAAAAAGGAGGAAAGAAAGAAGACUAAGCCACGACCUGUAGUCGGGCGCGCCUGCGCCAGCCACCUGCACGCCUGCGCAAGAUAACCUUGCGCCCGCGCAUGGGUCGCGUAGGUGGUCGCGCUUAGAUUUGCUCUCAGCUUUUCAUUGGAGCGCCCGCGCAUCUUGCUCUCACGCCCACACUCUCCUGUUCUACCUCUUUUUCCAUCCUAAAUCUUGCUCUAGCAAUCCUAAUUGCAUCUACCUUCCUCGUAUGGCUCAAAAUCAAGAAACAUUAAGCACAAACUCUCACUACAACCACUAAGCACCUCCAAAUGAUGCUUUAUGCUUGAUCAAAUGAAUGCAAAUCGCAUCAAAAUCACCCUUCAAAAACAAAUAAAGAAUAGAGAAGAUAAGAAAAGAAAAAUGAAAAAUGAAAAGAGAAAAGUUCACUAGUAGAAAUUUUGAAAUAGGCACCCCCCCUUUAGCACCGGUUCUUGAAAACCGGUGCCAAAAGAAAUAGGCGGGGUUGGAAAAUUCAGAGUUGGCAACGGUUCCAACCAAAACUAGUGCCAACUAAUCUAAUUAGCACCGGUUAAAACUGGUGCCAAUCCAAAAAUAAAAAAUAAGAAAUAAAAAAAACCGAAGAAAGCAAUAUAGUUGGCACCGGUUCGUCUUAAACCGGUGCCCACUAGUAUAGUAGUAGCCAUUAAAAAAAACCGAGCUUCUCGUAUUUCUUCUUCUUCUUUUCUUUCCCCAGGAUUUUUCAACUUGUUUUUUCCCUCAGCUCGUUCUCACCUUCUCUUCCAAGCCACCACCUCCGAAUUCCCACCUUCUCCAUUGAAGCCGUUUUUGAGCUCUUUCACUCCAUUAAAGCAACUGCAUGCACCUCCUUCUCUCUCCAUAUCUCUCCUCCAUUGUACUCUUGCUCUCUAUUCUCCAUUGAAGCACAUUCUGAGUUUUCUCACCUCCAUUGAAGCAGCUUUGAGGUAAGAUUUGGGCCAUUGUGUUCUUCUUAAUCUACCGAAUUUCUUCGCAACCUAGGUUUGUCGUUGAUUUGGUUUUCAAUUUUGUAAUUUUAGGGUUCUGGUUUUAUUUCUAUUUUUUGUCAAACAAAAUAAGUAGGAGAAGGAGAGAGUAUGUUCUACCCGCCGCUACUCACCCUUCGCCGGCCACCCUCCGUUCCCCUCAACCGUCCUUCGUGGGUCGGCUACCGACCACCAGUAGGAGACAGUGACUCUAAAUCAAGAACAGUGGAGAAGGAAGUGAAUCCAAGGGGAACAAAUUUAUGUUGUGACGACGGUAAGAUGUCUAUGCUAUAUCUAACUUGGAGUACCUUACUAAAUGAAUCAGUAGACCCAUGGACAAACACGAAAUCAAGUGUCCUGAAUGACCCUCAUUUAGGGAAUUGCAAGUCGAAGGCCUUGAUGAACAAGAGGCUAGAUACGCGUGUUGGUAAUGCAACAUUCCCCCCUUGGACACUUUGGAAGGGAUCAUUAGACGUAUACUCUAAGGAUUAAGAGGAUGAGAAGUUGAAUGAUUUUAGGCAUCAGGAUAUAUCUCAAGGUGCUUAUCCUCCCUGGAUUUGGGGAUCUGAUGAAGAAAAUUAUCCUUUGACAAGGAAAGUGCAGCGUGAUUUAUGGCUUCAUCAGCAUCCGUUGAACUGUCAUGACCCUCAAGUGAAUCUUGUGGCUGAUUGGGAAAGACUCCCCGGACUUGGUAUAGGUGCACAAAUUGCUGGAAUGUGUGGAAUUCUUGCUCUGGCCAUUUCUGAGAAGAGGGUGCUUGUAACAAAUUACUACAACCGUGCUGAUCAUGAGGGCUGCAAAGGAUCAUCUCAUGCAAGUUGGUCUUGCUACUUUCUUCAAAGACAUCCCAAGAAUGCCGGGAUUGUGCUUUUGAUCUCAUGAAUCAUAAGGAAGCAUGGGACGAGGGAAUCAUAAAAGUAAAAGAGAACUAUACUUCUAAAGAUAUAUGGGCAGGACAGACUCCUAGGUAAUUUCUUGCAACUUUUGCUGAGUACUCGUACAUUAUUUUAUGAGGACGAUGUGAAAUAUUCGUCUGUGUACUGAAUUACUACAUACUUGGCUGUUAUUUUCUGAGUAAGUUCACCAAUUGCCUUCUUUUCCUCGUUGAAAUACUUCUCCUAGGGACGAGUAAGCAGAAUAGAAAUAGCAGAACAACAAGCAGAACACAAAGUAGUAGAAGCAGAAGCAGUAGCAGAAGCAGAACAGUAGUAGUUAUAAUAUCCUGGCUGUGAUAGUUCUUGGAGUUAUCGGAGGUGUUCUUGGGCAGCUUUUAUAAUUAUCUUGUUGACAUGCACUAUCGUUGACAACGUUGUUUAAUCCCUUAUUUUUAUUAUGCUUGUGAAUGUAACAGCACCAGGCCAGCAAAACAGCAACAAUAGCCAUCACCAGGCCUUCUCAUAUGGUCUGCCAUCAACAAAUUUAUAUGUUGUUUUUUUUUUCAAUUUUGUAAAGUGUAAUAU